ACGAACUGAGAGGAGGGAAGGGAGGGGACGCGAGGCAAACAUAGCGGUGAGAUCGUGAGAAGAAAGCUGUCUGGAUUCGCGAUCUGGGGAAAGGGUUUACCUCUGGGGAUCGGAAGAGGUGGAGGGGGAGAUCGAAGGAGGCGGCGGCGGCGCGAGGAAGGGGGCGGCUUUGGCUUUGCGACCGCAGCGUAACCCAUCGCCAACAGCAGCCGCCACCGCCCGCUGCCGCAAGCGUUGAUGCUGCUGCCUUCCGAAACGUGACCGCCCCAUACCAGCGACUCCGUGCCGCCAGACCUUCACCGCCCCAUGCCUGAACAGACGCAAAAAAUCGCCCGCAUCCGCAUCGCCCUCCUCUUCCGCCGCCGUCCAUGCCUCCUUCGCCGCUACCCUCCACCCCGAACCCACGCUGCUCGAGCUGGCUGCUCUAUCCUCGUGCAUAACAAGAGAAAUAUUCCUGGGCCUGGAAUUGUUGAUGGAAGCUUAAGGGUUUGCCAAAAGGAAGACGGCUACUUUUGCUUGCUGAAAUGAGCUCAGCUGGCAACUUUAUAACGGAGAUCACACUGCAGCAGCUGUAAAGAUCUCCUGUGUUUAUCCACGCUACUCCUGGAGUGCAGAUGGUUUCUGGAGCAGAUGCUCUUGGGCAACAAUACACCACAACUUACUCUUUUCAUGCAGAGAAAGGGCUCAUGGGAGCAGAGGGACAAAGGAGUUACAUGAUUGAACCAGAUAUCACAUGAAACCCCAAGAACAAGAUGUGAGCUUAUCAUUAAGCCAUAACCCUGAUCCGGUGUACUUUUGACGAUUCUAGGGAUAGAACCAACAAAAUGAAGAAGGUUGACCAUAAUGGAAACUAGCAGGUCCCAAGCUGAUUUUGAAAGCCUUGGAUAAUUGGAUUCAUUUAUGCGUCUCCAGGAAUAUUAUCCUCGUGGUCUCAGAUUAAUAAGCCGAUGUUCAGUUAGAACAACGUCAACCAUGAUACCAUUUCACUGAGUAAUCAGGAGUUGCUACGAGGAGAUAGUACGCUGCCAGCAAGAAGCUAUGCCGGGAAUGAAUGAGUGCUUGGCAAAUGGACGCUCGGAAUGGUCUGUUGUUAUUGGGCUAUCUAGAUGAGCCUAGAUAGGCAAAUGGGCUGUGUUGAAGUUCGAUUUUUUGAAGUUUGCUCCAUGGACAAGAUAGAAGGCGGGGCAAGAAGGCCAAGCAUGAUAGGCUGACUGUCAAAUUUCUGAAGAACCUUAUUCAGCCUGAGCUCACUGACGAGGUUCUCAGAACUGAUGUUGAGGCUGCACUGCAAGUUCUGAAUUUUGCAAAUAUGUAGCAUAUACAUGAGUUACUUGGGGAUAGUCAUCAAAUAUGUAGCAUAUGUUUCAUAUUACCUUCUCGGCAUUGCUUCGGGACAGUCCAUUGCUAUUGCUAUGUUUCACGUGUCGAUUAUAUCAUUUGUUCUCUUCCCACCUUUUGACAAGGGCUUGGAAUAUGUACACCCAAAGAGCAAUGUCUUGUUAUGUGAUAUAAUGAGUAGUGUUAA
Long non-coding RNA from Brachypodium distachyon (stiff brome), 1525 nucleotides. RefSeq lists it as uncharacterized. NCBI's taxonomy places the organism in Eukaryota, Viridiplantae, Streptophyta, Magnoliopsida, Poales, Poaceae. The transcript has 6 exons. The record is from RefSeq and is a predicted model, not a curated record.